Molecule: unclassified non-coding RNA, 703 nt
Filed under: Hevea brasiliensis (rubber tree)
Lineage: Eukaryota; Viridiplantae; Streptophyta; Magnoliopsida; Malpighiales; Euphorbiaceae
Source: RNAcentral
AAAUUACUACUGCCAUUUCAUUUUGAAGUUCCAAUAUUUCAAUCUGUAGAUUUCAUCAUCGAAUUUUGGGUAAAUCAACUAAUCGAGAAAAAUCAGUAUGAGGACGACACGGAGGCCGAUCCAAGUCGUGUCGACAUGGGUCCGCCGGCAACCGCCUAAGGUCAAGGCUUUUCUGGCCGUCAUUACCGGUAUGGCGGCGUUGGUCUUGCUACGCGCCAUCGUCCACGAUCACGAUAACCUCUUCGUCGCCGCUGAAGCUGUUCAUUCAAUUGGAAUCUCCGUUCUCAUCUACAAGCUCAUGAAAGAAAAAACUUGUGCCGGUCUUUCACUCAAAUCCCAGGAGCUCACUGCUAUGUUUUUGGCUGUUAGGCUGUAUUGCAGUUUUGUCAUGGAAUAUGAUAUACACACCUUACUUGAUUUAGCUACGUUAGCUACAACCUUGUGGGUUAUUUAUAUGAUCCGGUUUAAUCUUAGAUCAAGUUACAUGGAGGACAAAGACAAUUUUUUAAUCUAUUACGUGGUGAUCCCUUGUGCUGCCUUAGCUUUACUAAUUCAUCCAUCUACAUCACAUCUCUUCGUCAAUAGAGUCUUCUGGGCGUUCUGUGUUUACUUGGAGGCAGUUUCUGUGCUACCUCAACUUCGUGUUAUGCAAAACACUAAGAUAGUUGAACCAUUCACAGCUCAUUAUGUAUUUGCAUUGGGU